This 497-nucleotide ribosomal RNA is filed under the name uncultured bacterium. RNAcentral describes it as "partial 16S ribosomal RNA". It matches the Rfam family "Bacterial small subunit ribosomal RNA", at positions 28 to 507 of the family's 1533-position model. The record is from RNAcentral.
GAUGAACGCUGGCGGCGUGCCUAAUACAUGCAAGUCGAGCGAACGGACGAGAAGCUUGCUUCUCUGAUGUUAGCGGCGGACGGGUGAGUAACACGUGGAUAACCUACCUAUAAGACUGGGAUAACUUCGGGAAACCGGAGCUAAUACCGGAUAAUAUUUUGAACCGCAUGGUUCAAAAGUGAAAGACGGUCUUGCUGUCACUUAUAGCUGCAUCCGCGCUGCAUUGGCUAGUUGGUAAGGUAACGGCUUACCAAGGCAACGAUGCAUAGCCGACCGGAGGGGGUGAUCGGCCACACGGGAACUGAGACACGGUCCAGACUCCUACGGGAGGCAGCAGUAGGGAAUCUUCCGCAAUGGGCGAAAGCCUGACGGAGCAACGCCGCGUGAGUGAUGAAGGUCUUCGGAUCGUAAAACUCUGUUAUUAGGGAAGAACAGAUGUGUAAGUAACUGUGCACAUCUUGACGGUACCUAAUCAGAAAGCCACGGCUAACUACGUG